AAAAAGGCAAACCCUGGGUUUCCGUGUCCAACUUUGACGGUCCAUCUUAUAAUUCGUAUUUUCAUUGUUGUUAGAUGAUAAAACAUGAUUAAUAUUUUAUGCGUGACUUGUCUUUUUAUUUUUUUCAUAAUUUUUUCAAAUAAGACGGACGGUCAAACAUUGGGCACGAAAACCAGGGUUUAUCUUUUU
Non-coding RNA from Oryza glaberrima (African rice), 189 nucleotides. The record is from Rfam. Lineage: Eukaryota; Viridiplantae; Streptophyta; Magnoliopsida; Poales; Poaceae.